CCUACGGGAGGCAGCAGUGAGGAAUAUUGGUCAAUGGACGAGAGUCUGAACCAGCCAAGUAGCGUGAAGGAUGACUGCCCUAUGGGUUGUAAACUUCUUUUAUAUGGGAAUAAAACGUUCCACGUGUGGGAUUUUGUAUGUACCAUAUGAAUAAGGAUCGGCUAACUCCGUGGCAGCAGCCGCGGUAAUACGGAGGAUCCGAGCGUUUACCGGAUUUAUUGGGUUUAAAGGGAACGUCGGUGGAUUGUUAAUGCAGUUGUGAAAGUUUGCGGCUCAACCGUAAAAUUGCAGUUGAAACUGGCAGUCGUGAGUACAGUAGAGGUGGGCGGAAUUCGUGGUGUAGCGGUGAAAUGCUUAGAUAUCACGAAGAACUCCGAUUGCGAAGGCAGUUCACUGGACUGCAACUGACACUGAGGCUCGAAAGUGUGGGUAUCAAACAGGAUUAGAUAACCGAGUAGUC
Molecule: ribosomal RNA, 460 nt
Filed under: uncultured bacterium
Lineage: Bacteria
Description: partial 16S ribosomal RNA
Rfam family: Bacterial small subunit ribosomal RNA
Source: RNAcentral